UGCCAUCCUCGUCGGCCCCGCCGCCGUGUCACUGCUCUGCCUCUGCGGGCUGCAGCGGUCCUCGCUUAGUGCGGGACAAUUGGACCUUGGUCCAUCGCUGGCCUUGCGACCAUUCCGUGCCCAGACCCCGAGCGAGCAGCUCGAGGCUGCGGUGUCCCUCGGUGGUGACAGCGCCAACAAAGCCCUGACAACAGGCCCAGCCCUGAGCUGCUCAUCAUCAGCACUUCAGGCAGCAAAUCUGCCUGCCCUUCAGCAUCGCUUUAUGUGCAGACUGAGCGGAUGAAAGCACAGGCAGGCAAGGCACAAAAGUACUGUGAAAAUACAGCAGAUGCAGAACUUCCACCUUACACGCUGGCACUUGUCUUACACUGUACGUUUCUACAUAUAUAGACAAAUAUAUGAGUGAGUCUAUCAUCUGAAUAGCCUGCCUCUAUCCCCAGCAAUCCUGCGGAAGCAUGGCAGUGAUUUGUGGAAGCUUCAGGACAGCAACAAGAGCAUUACACUGACAUCUGAAAGCUUGACAGAAGUUUAUUUUUCAACACAUUUCCUUCUAAAACUUAAUUUCUUUCAGUAAACCCGUGACUCACAGCAGCAACCAGGCUGAUGAGGCCUGCAUGCUAAGCACAACCCAUGCUUCCCAUGGCUUCAAGCCUUCCAGCUUGGCCCACUGCUUCUAUUUUCACUCUUGCUUAUAUUUUUGUUCUUCAGUUAUGUGGGUGAGCCCUCAGUCAAGAUGGGGUUUUCCACGGACGAGCCAGAACGUCCCUCCUUGAGGUUUUUAAUUCACCAACACCAGAGAGUGCUGAACUGUGUGAUUAAACAAGGCAGGCAAGCUUCAAUUAUUUCAAAGUGAUUAAUGCUGGGGAAACCGAGAUGCUUGUUCUGAGUAAGUGAAACUGAUGUGCACACGAUGCUCACAUCCUUUGAGAGCAGGUAAUCCGCUGCAAGUAGUUGGAAGUAGGACUCUGUGUAAGAACUUCUACCUUAGUUUCACACUAUGCCUAAUGCCUACAUUAGACUUGGCUACUGCUGUGGUGUCACUUAUUUUUUAUUGCCCUUCAAAAAGGGCAAUGAAACAAUUUGCAAAACAGGAGCCCUUUAAAGAGAUAAGAAAGGCUGAAUCAUUCCCAGUGUUACAUAAGGUGGCUGAACGCUCAAACGUGGAUGAACUGCUUGAUUUCCCUUAUUAACCAGAGGAGCAGGUGGAAGCAUGCAUAUAGAAAUCCAUAUAGAAAUGAGGCUGCAAAUGCCUAAUGAGAUUUUUUUUUUUUAGCAAGUCCACGUAGUUUAAAGGAGUUUGCACGACUUUGAUCUUGUGUGCUUCUGAAAUCACUCCAUGAGACCCUCAAAAGCAGACUGAGUCAGAGCUGUAAGACUUGGACCUCACAGAAAGUAUUUUAGAACUGCUUAUGUGCAAAAUGGCACAAGUCUGCACUUCGGAGAUGCAGUGAAACGCUGUGGUCAGUGGUGUGUUCAGCUAAGUGCUCACAAAGGCUGCAGAAGGCAGCAACCACAAGAGGUCAUUGGAACACAGGCUUUCACUGAGCAAGGGGAUGAACUGAAGCAGAAAGAUCUCCGUGGGAACAUGAAACACUGUGCAGUCCCUUUCACUCAGCAAAGUGUCUCUCUGGCCUGGCCCUUUCUGAUAGGCCGCCAGAGUUGGAGCAAGGGAAAAGAGCAGCAGAAGGAAUCAGCCUGGGUUUUUUUUGAAGCAGCAAUCGCAGAUUCAACAAUUUUUGCAACAUCUCACACAAGGGACAGUGAUCAGCAAAACAUUCUAUGGAUCAGCUUCCCCCCCCCAAUCUUACCAGGCUAUUGGGUUUUCCUCAGCAUGGCAGAAAGUUGAGUCUCUGCUGCAGGAUUCCAGGAAUGCUGAAGCUUUGGAAGAAAGUGCAAGACUGAGCGGAGAGUACAGAUGGGAUGCUGGGAAUGCCUAACAGAAAAACAGACAGGAGAACCUAUACCUGCGUACCAAGGAUAGGACUCCCAGCAGCCAGGUAAAGAAGGAAAAAGGAUAAUAGGAUGUAUACCUCAACAUAACAGGAUUACAAGUCCUAGUGUACCUUAUCAGAUAUAAUGUUCAUCCCUUUUCCUUUUUUUAAAAUCAAUACACAGUUUAGCUCAUUAAUGACACAGCCCACCAAUGGUGAGUCUUGGUGCCACCUGUGCCACCUAAAAGCAUAGUUUAAGCCUCGUUCCCCUACUUGAUCACUUUUUCUUUUCAUCAAAAUGAGCACUAUUCUGUAAUUUCAGUACAUUUUCACACAAACAGGUGAGCUCACCAUGUCUUCUAUGGUACUAGUCAGUUCAUCAGCCAACACGUACUUUAAACAUCAUCCUUCGCAGCAAAAGAGUUCCAUUAUUUUUAUUUCUUCCACCUUCAAAGUCAUUUCUCCAGUUUUAAGUGCACAUCUCAAGUUGUUUGCUUGUUUUUGAAGUCUCACCAGAUACCAUGUGUUUUUAUUUAAAAAUACAAAAGCUAUUUUCCCAGUAAUUAGAACUCGAUCUUUAAUCCUUGAUGAUGCCAUAACUCACUGCUAAGUUCCACAAUAAACAUACAUCUCAUACAAAAAGCUCAAAAGCGCAGUAAACAACUUGAAGUUAUAUUCUCAAAAUAAGAGAUUUCCACUUUAGAAACACCAAAAAAUGCAGAUGUUACAAACAAUCCAUUUAUUGGGUCAUAAACUACGUACACAAUUGAAAUAAUAAUUUUGGCACUACGCUAUACAGUGGUUACAUCUGUGUGCUGACACUCAUUAAAUACUGCACCAGGAACACUGCUGUGCUUUGAAGUUUGGAAUGAGUCACACACUCAGCAGGUAGAUCACUCGAAAUGUAUCAGUGCUCCUGUAGGGUUGCAUGAAAGUUGAAACACACCAGCUUACGCAUAAUUUCAAUGUACCUCAUGUUCUAUGAGCUUAUCACAUCAGAACAUGUGAUGUCAGCAUUUAGAGAUGGCCACAAAUGUUCAUUAAAAUCUGAAUGAGACGGUAAUGAUGAGAUACAAGAAAACUGAAACAAAACCUCUGCCUCUUAGACAUGAAGAGAUUCUCUGUUAAAGAAAAUAAUUUAGAAAACUAAUAAUGGCAUUUGAUUUGAUACAAAAGCCAGAACUACUACAUUAUUAACAUCUAAGUAUGAAUCUUUACAAAUUAAUCUCACAAUGGUAUUAUGUAAAAGGUUGCAAACUGUACAAUGUUCUGUCAAUGCAAUGCCUCUACAAUUUAUACAGUCUUUUACAACUAUGUAACACAUAUUAAACAUGUUGU
Gallus gallus (chicken) is the source of this 3269-nucleotide long non-coding RNA. The record is from Ensembl. Lineage: Eukaryota; Metazoa; Chordata; Aves; Galliformes; Phasianidae.